RNAcentral lists this long non-coding RNA (1914 nucleotides) under Lathyrus oleraceus (garden pea). Its description in RNAcentral is "Pisum sativum (pea) long non-coding RNA (PSAT_LNC016867)". The record is from RNAcentral. Lineage: Eukaryota; Viridiplantae; Streptophyta; Magnoliopsida; Fabales; Fabaceae.
GGAGGGGGAAGAGGAGUCAGUCAAAUUCAAAUGUAGAAAAACGCUCAAGUAAAUUUCACUCCACUCUCGAGAUUUUGACAUGAGAACACCUUCCUCUGUCGCGUCGGAGGUCACCUCCGGUGGGGGCGGAGGGUUAAACCAUGAAAAUGAUACAUCACCUUCUUCUCCUUUUUCUCCUCUAUUUAACUCCAUCACUAAUUUCAGUCAAUUUGAACUCUAAAGCCUAAAUUGAAUCGUUUCUAUCUAUGAACCCUAAACUCCAAAAGCUAAAUUAAAUCGAAACCUAAUGAAAUCAAAGCCCAAAUUGUCGGGGCUUUGAUUCCCCAAUCCUUACACUACAUCUCUGUAACAAUUUUGAAGUGAAAAGAUGGAAUAGAAAUCUUACACUUCCGGAGAAGGUGAAGACGAAGAUGAAAUUCCGAUAAGUUCUUGUUGAAUCUCCUUCUUGCUUUUGAAUUCCAAAUCUUCUUCUUCUCCUUCUUCUUCUAUUGAGCUCUGUUGUUAUAUUAGUGACUUUUUCGAGAGUGAUUGAGGGAGGUUGAAGAUUGAAUGUGAUGGAGUGAUUGGAGAGUUUUGUGAGUUGAGAGGGUGGUUAUGUGAUUCGAGAGUGAGAAUGCUCAAUGAAUCGAGAUAGAGGGUGUGAGAAAUGAUUUUUUGAUGAUGGAAUCUGAAGUUGAUGAAUGAAGGUGAUGGUGAGAUUUUAUAGGGAAUGAAGGUUAACAUAGUUUGUUCUGUUAAUUUUGGUCAAAGCCAAUUCAGUUUGGAGUUUGUUAACUCUGUUAACUUGGAAUGGUGAGAAACGGUUAGGUUAGUUGCGAAUUUCGAUUUCGGUUAGGUUGGUUAGGAUUUGAAUCAUGUUAGCAGUUAGAUCAGUUAGUUAGUUGUUAGGUUUGGAAAGUUUUUUAGGAUGAAUUUUAGUUUGGGAUUGGUGAUGGUUAUCAUGGUUGUGAAAUGAAUGUGCAAUGAAUUACUGUUGGAAAAUCGAGCUGCUGGAAGUAAUAGUUUGUUUUCAUGUGGACUGCAUUUUUGAAUGGUUGAUUUGCUUGCUAAUAGUUCUGUUAAGACUUAUCUCAAUUAAGUAUGAUGGGAUGGGAUGAUUGAUAUGAUGAAUGGUCAGUUAAUUGGAUGUUGAGCUAAGCUUUGGUGUUAAUGUUAAUUUGCAAUGCCUUGGACUGUUUGUAAUUGCCAUGUCUUGCUAUUAUGAAUGUGAGUUGCUUGUAUAUGACUGUUAAUGGUAAAAUGCUUGGAUGUAUGCUUAGUGUGCAGCAUGUUAUGAACAUGCUUUAUUGUUGUUGCAUUGCUAUGUUAAUAUGUGAUGUUCUAUCAAUUGGAUAAAUGUAUGUAUUUUGGAUGCUUGGUGAAUGAAUUGAUUAUGUUAAUGUUUGAUGUGGAUGCAUGUUCUACCCAUGUAUGCAUUGUAAAUGUUCACAUGUUUUGAAAUGUUAUGGUUUGUGAAUGCUUUGAACCUAGAUAAUAUGUAUGAUAACUCAUUGCUUGGAAUGUUUUAUAGGGUAUUUGGUAAAAAUGAAGGGUUUGAACAAAGGCAUACAAGUGGCUUGCAUCAUGUGGCUUAUUCUUGAAGAAACAUGGGAGCAUGGUGAAGGAAACAUCUAGAACAUGUGAAUCCUUGAUGAUUCAAACAAGAUGACUUAUAGAGAAGUGAAAAUAGGAAUUAGGGUUUAUGAUGGGUAAAAUAGUUAGUUGACUUUGGUCGAUUGGUUGACCAAAAAGUUAAUAGUUGACCAAAAGUCAACUUAGGUAAAAAAAAUGUAUUUUUAUAUAGAAUGAUAUGUAAUGACUCAUGGUGUAAUGAUGUAAUGAUACUUUAAAUGCAAUGGAUUCCCCUUUAUUCAAAUGGACUUUGAAUGAAUCAUGACUUAAAAUGUGACCUAACUUUUUAAGUAGGCAUAAUUA